Molecule: ribosomal RNA, 464 nt
Filed under: Vreelandella stevensii
Lineage: Bacteria; Pseudomonadati; Pseudomonadota; Gammaproteobacteria; Oceanospirillales; Halomonadaceae
Description: partial 16S ribosomal RNA
Rfam family: Bacterial small subunit ribosomal RNA
Source: RNAcentral
CCUACGGGAGGCUGCAGUGGGGAAUAUUGGACAAUGGGGGGAACCCUGAUCCAGCCAUGCCGCGUGUGUGAAGAAGGCCCUCGGGUUGUAAAGCACUUUCAGUGAGGAAGAACGCCUGGUGGUUAAUACCCAUCAGGAAAGACAUCACUCACAGAAGAAGCACCGGCUAACUCCGUGCCAGCAGCCGCGGUAAUACGGAGGGUGCGAGCGUUAAUCGGAAUUACUGGGCGUAAAGCGCGCGUAGGUGGCUUGAUAAGCCGGUUGUGAAAGCCCCGGGCUCAACCUGGGAACGGCAUCCGGAACUGUCAAGCUAGAGUGCAGGAGAGGAAGGUAGAAUUCCCGGUGUAGCGGUGAAAUGCGUAGAGAUCGGGAGGAAUACCAGUGGCGAAGGCGGCCUUCUGGACUGACACUGACACUGAGGUGCGAAAGCGUGGGUAGCAAACAGGAUUAGAUACCCUAGUAUC